GAUGAACGCUGGCGGCGUGCCUAAUACAUGCAAGUCGAGCGAAUGGAUUAAGAGCUUGCUCUUAUGAAGUUAGCGGCGGACGGGUGAGUAACACGUGGGUAACCUGCCCAUAAGACUGGGAUAACUCCGGGAAACCGGGGCUAAUACCGGAUAACAUUUUGAACCGCAUGGUUCGAAAUUGAAAGGCGGCUUCGGCUGUCACUAAUGGAUGGAGCCGCGUCGCAUUAGCUAGUUGGUGAGGUAACGGCUCACCAAGGCAACGAUGCGGAGCCGACCUGAGAGGGUGAUCGGCCACACUGGGACUGAGACACGGCCCAGACUCCUACGGGAGGCAGCAGUAGGGAAUCUUCCGCAAUGGACGAAAGUCUGACGGAGCAACGCCGCGUGAGUGAUGAAGGCUUUCGGGUCGUAAAACUCUGUUGUUAGGGAAGAACAAGUGCUAGUUGAAUAAGCUGGCACCUUGACGGUACCUAACCAGAAAGCCACGGCUAACUACGUGCCAGCCGCCGCAGUAA
This 515-nucleotide ribosomal RNA is filed under the name uncultured bacterium. RNAcentral's name for it is "partial 16S ribosomal RNA". It matches the Rfam family "Bacterial small subunit ribosomal RNA", at positions 28 to 523 of the family's 1533-position model. The record is from RNAcentral.